GAGCAAGUAUUGGUGCUCGAAUCAGAUGAUUCUUCAACGUAUGGAAUGCUGCAUCACAUUCGGGAGUCCAGUUGAAGGUGUGUUGUUUCUUCAGUAAGUUGGUCAUCGGCUUGCUGAUCCUUACAUAGUCUUGGAUGAAGCAUCUAUGAUAUCCCAUUUUUCCCAAAAAUCUUCUGACACUUGAGACAUCCACAGGUGGUUUCAUGUUGAGGAUGAUCUCUGUCUUGGCUUUGUCAAUUAGUAUCCCUUGCUUGCAGAUUAUAUGUCUGAAUAGAACUCUGGAUCUGACGAAGAAGGAACAUUUCUCCUUGUUUGAAGCACUUUUGUAGGCAUUCCAAGUGCCUUGCUUGGUUGUUGAAAACACUGAAAUCGUCCAUAAAAAUGCGCAUGAA
RNAcentral lists this long non-coding RNA (392 nucleotides) under Selaginella moellendorffii. Its description in RNAcentral is "long non-coding RNA (SMOE_LNC002251)". The record is from RNAcentral. Lineage: Eukaryota; Viridiplantae; Streptophyta; Lycopodiopsida; Selaginellales; Selaginellaceae.